GUCUGCUGGAUCUGCUGCUGCUGCAGCUCCGCCAGCUGCCUCUCCAGAAGUUGCUGCUUGAACUCCAAUUGCUCCUGCAGCGUCAAAGCUUGACCGUCGUUCGGGGACCUGAAGAUCGGCACCACGCUUUUCGGAAUGCCUUGCUCGUCUUGCUGCACGGUGAACGCCGCGACGAGCGGCGCCUGGAAGAUCUUCACUUCCUCGGUCUUGUCCUUCGCGUCGCUGGACGCGGUGGCGUUGUUGCCCGUGGCCGCGGUCGAGGGCGAGGGCGUGGGCUCGGCCAAUCUUUGCGCGACCAACGCGUUCGCCGUCGCGAUACCGGUCGUCGCACUUCCGGCAAGGCUUUCCGCGACUUCCGUGGCCGGCUUCAACGUCAGGCUUUCCACUCUGCUCACGGAGAAAGUAUUGGCCGGCCUCGGAGGACUCUUCUUCUCUUCCUGCUCCGCCUUCGGCUCUAUUUUCGUACCGAACGUGACACUUUUCUCGGGGAAGAUUACGUUCUGCACGUGAAAGCUCCUGGAUUCCUCCUGCGUCGCCUUCUCGAUGUGCAUCGCGGGCGUCUUCAGCGUCACGUAACGAACGGACUCCAAGAAGCUCGAGUUCUGCAGCUUGUCCUCCGGCGGGAUCUCCUCGUCCCGAGGGAAGCUCUGGAACGAGAACAUCGACCCGAGCCCGCGCACGCCGAGAUCCGCGUUCAGGCUUUUCUUCGGGUCGGUCACGCCAUCGAAGUCGGCCUCGACCUGGCCAGCCGGCCCCUGCUCGCCUUUAUGCUGCUCCGCGGAUUCCGCUUCCAAAUCGGUCAGAGCCUUCAACAGGGCUCGACGAAGAUUCUUGUCCAGCUUGAUCGGAGGCUGCGUCAUGUCCAGACCCUUCGCCGAGAUCUCGGUCUCUUGAGAUCUCGUCAGGGUUAUCGAUGUGCUCGCCAAUAGGAGUACUAGCGUUGCCUGCAAGUUCGAAUGCGAAUUAGCUGGUCGUAGAUACAAUCGAGACGGAGGAAUAUGUUUCCGUAACGUCCGUUAAAUGCUUGUCGAUUGCGUCUCGAUAUGCUGUGGAACAAUUGAUUUCUUCGCGAUUGCAUUUUUACUCGAUGCUUACGGGCUGACAUACUUUUCAGAAGCAUGCGCGGAGUUUAUAGAAUUUUUGUAGCCGCAAUUAAUGGACGCGUCUUCCAAUCGUCGCGAUCGUACCGUGGAGGCGACUGUACAUCAAAGCUUCCAAGAGCUUUGUACCAUUUUUCGUCGGUGUCCGUCGUUACCAGAAAUUAUGGAUAUCCUUCUUUCGAAACUCGUUUUAAUAUUAAAGUAUGCGAACGCGACUCCCCGCGGCAUGCUCCACAAAAACAUUCUCGGCCGUAUCCAGAAAAAUUUGCAUACUCGGACGCUUAGAAGGAGGUAUUAAUCACUCAUGGUGAAAGUUGUCCACAUUAACGAAGCCCACACCUAUCGACAAGUUUUCUGAGAUCUCGCGUUAGUUUUCUAAUUAGUAUGAAACAUUGAAAAUUCUGCAUCUUCUCCGUCGUACGAGAUACUCGUAGAAAAUACGAUACGCCGCAUGGGUAGUUUGUCAGGGUGGUAGAUCGUUGUGCUAGUCGAUCAAAACUAGUUUCUGCUCUUCCUCUAUUCAACUUCGUGCGAUUCGCUAUGAAUGGCACUGUACCGUGCCGCUCUAUAGGCGUGUACACGGUCGUUUCCCGUUGCAGGUUUCCAACACAAAACAGCUCCGUAGAACCGAAGCGUGUCGGAUAGAGUAGAUUAUGAAACGGCUCCGUGACUCGUCAUUGUAUUAUAAUAGUAGUUUCUUUUAAACAAAUAAAUAAAAGAGCAAAUACCGCACUCGAAGUGACGUAACGUUACGCGUUCACAUUUAGCGUGAGCUAACUAGUCGAAACAAUAGCCUCCUGAUAGGCCAUACCUCUUCUAAACGCAACUCUUGCUUAAAUAGUGUAACACUUUUGCAAUUACCUGUGCAACUGUUUUAAAAGCGAAUACAAAUUUCGUUUUUUCAGAGCGUCUUAAAUAUUGACGACGGAAGUACGUUGGUUUCUACGAAACCAACGUUGGGCAAGUAUUUCUCUCGUAAAUUACAGAAUUCCUCGCGACGUAAAUACAAACGAAUGUAUCGUGCCACGUUUCUCUGUGUUUUAGAAACGCUGCGUGACACAAAACGUUUGCUCUUAACGGAUGCUGUUCCAUGUUCCCAUCACGGCGCAACAUUCGUUGGAAGACGAGGGACUAACGAGGCAUAUUACAGUUCUACGGAUGUGGGACGCAACCGGUGGCCAAUUAUCGAGCGAAUUUCUUUGCGGUCGUGGAGCAGGAUCGUCACCCAGGUGCAACGGCAGACAGGAACGCGUCGAAACGGGGAAAAUAGUUGAGAAACAGAUCAUUCGCGGCGGCAACCGCACCUUGGAGGUCGCGGGUCCCCUUCCGCUGGCUCCGACUGGAUAUUACUUCAACGGCGCGAACUUUCACACGGCGGUCGUUAAAGGCUGCGCCACCGAAAAGGAAAAGCGAUUUUCGUUUCCCCGGCGCGGCGCGUUGCGACGGAGGAAUGUCGACGAAGUGCCAGAAAGCUCGGCGCAGCUUCCGUUCUAAGCGAUUCCAAUUGUAAGCGUCGCAAAGGCGACGCGCGUCGCCGCAAAGUCGAGAGAAAACACUCGGCGUGCCCCCCGACCGAUGGAAAAAUGGUAACCAGGCGGUCCAGUCGGCCGCGAAUGGGCCGCCUCUGACAUUUGCAAAGAAAGUUACGCGCGAGAAGAAGCGUUCAAAGCCGCCGCGUCGAGUCCGACAAAGCGAGUAUACGUUGAAACAGACAAUGAAAAAUCGAUGCGAGACCUUAAGGCGUGGGUUAGGGAAACCUGUUACUCAUUUUACGAUCCAAGCGUCAAUCGCAUUCUCGCAGAGACUCUUCCUGCGUUCGUAGCGUUCGCUGUUUACGGUUGACUUUUCCCACACCCAUCGCCGCGCGCCGCGCGACGCCAUCGGGGAAAUCGCGUUUUCAUCGUUCCACGUAAAUGUCGUCGAAAUUUAUGUACGCGUGCAGCAAUUAAGCGGAGAUUUCCAUUCGCUAGGAUCGACUUUUAAUCCAAGCGUUUCGGAGAGGGCCGCGAUAGGACCGGUCGCAAUAGUCGAUUAAGCUUUAUUUGUAUUGUUGUUUCGCGGACGUUGUUGUUUAGCAUAUUUUCGACAUUAAGGAUACGUAAUGGACGAAAGUCGACGGUAAAUUGGAUUAGAAAGUUCGUUUGUAACGGCCUUUGUAAUUUAUAAUUAUUUUGGGCCGGACGCUCGAGUUUGAAAUGUAAGAUUCGUACGAUCGAAAUUUAGACGAGGUACUUUAUCUGCUCGAAGCGGUCGUAGACACGAAUUGUUCGACCUGUCUUAUAAGAUGAAAUAUAAUUGGGGCAAUAAUU
Molecule: long non-coding RNA, 3409 nt
Organism: Megalopta genalis
Lineage: Eukaryota; Metazoa; Arthropoda; Insecta; Hymenoptera; Halictidae
Source: RefSeq, a predicted model, not a curated record